GAUGAACGCUAGCGACAGGCCUAACACAUGCAAGUCGAGGGGCAGCACGAAUCAAGCUUGCUUGAUUUGGUGGCGACCGGCGCACGGGUGCGUAACAGGUGUGCAAUCUGUCCAUAAUCGGGGAAUAGCCCAGCGAAAGUUGGAUUAAUGCUCCAUGUGAGUUUUAGAGGCAUCUCUUUAAUUUGAAACGUAAGGAUUAUGGGUGAGCACGCUUCUGAUUAGGUAGUUGGUGAGGUAACGGCUCACCAAGCCGACGAUCAGUAGGGGUUCUGAGAGGAAGGUCCCCCACAUUGGAACUGAGACACGGUCCAA
RNAcentral lists this ribosomal RNA (312 nucleotides) under uncultured bacterium. RNAcentral's name for it is "bacterial SSU rRNA". It matches the Rfam family "Bacterial small subunit ribosomal RNA", at positions 28 to 334 of the family's 1533-position model. The record is from RNAcentral.